GCCCUCUUGGCUUAGUGGUAAAGCGUAUCACUAGUAAUGAUAAGAUCGCUAGUUCGAUUCUGGCAGAGGGCA
Molecule: non-coding RNA, 72 nt
Organism: Parastagonospora nodorum SN15
Lineage: Eukaryota; Fungi; Ascomycota; Dothideomycetes; Pleosporales; Phaeosphaeriaceae
Source: the annotation of a RefSeq genome assembly